AGUGAACGCUGGCGGUAGGCCUAACACAUGCAAGUCGAACGGCAGCACAGUAAGAGCUUGCUCUUACGGGUGGCGAGUGGCGGACGGGUGAGGAAUACAUCGGAAUCUACUUUUUCGGGGGGGAUAACGUAGGGAAACUUACGCUAAUACCGCAUACGACCUACGGGUGAAAGCAGGGGAUCUUCGGACCUUGCGCGAUUGAAUGAGCCGAUGUCGGAUUAGCUAGUUGGCGGGGUAAAGGCCCACCAAGGCGAGGAUCCGUAGCUGGUCUGAGAGGCUGGUCGCCCGCAUGGGAACGGAGACAGGGACCAGGCGCCUACGGGAGGCCGCAGUGGGGUAUAUUGGACAAUGGGCGCAAGCCUGAUCCAGCCAUACCGCGUGGGUGAAGGAGGCGUUCGGGUUGUAAAGCCCGUUUGUUGGGAAAGAAAAGCAGCAGGUUAAUACCCCGCUGUUCUGACGGUACCCGAUGAAUAAGCACCGGCUAACUUCGUG
Molecule: ribosomal RNA, 492 nt
Filed under: uncultured bacterium
Lineage: Bacteria
Description: partial 16S ribosomal RNA
Rfam family: Bacterial small subunit ribosomal RNA
Source: RNAcentral